GACGGCAGGAAGGGGACGAGGCCGGGAGCCGCGCUCCGCAGGCAGGGCCGUGCUCUGGAAGCUCCAGUCCGUCUCCACAGUCCCCGCUGCACCAAAAACCCACUCCGUGCACCUCAUGGCCCCUCUUCACCCUACGACACCGAGUUGCCCUACCGCCGCCUCCAGGAAGUCCUCCGGGCCUCUGGCUGGGCCAGGCGCCUCCGCUGAGCUCCAAAAAGGCCCGAGGAACCCUGUCCACAUUCUCAGUCGCUGUUUCCUCCUCCCAAGACAGUGGAUGAACGUGUAUGACAUUCAGGAGUUUCCGCUGUGGCUCGGUGGGUUAUAACCCUGACUAGAAUCCAUGAGGAUGCCAGUUCGAUCCCUGGCCUUGCUCAGGGGGUUAAGGAUUUGGCAUUGCUGUAGGCUGUGGUGUAGGCUGGCAGCUGCAGCUCCAAUUCGACCCCUAGCCUGGGAACUUCCAUAUGCCACGGGUGCAGCCAUAAGAAGACAAAAACAAAAAAAAAAAAAAGGAGAAGAAGAAAAGGUGUGACUUUCAGACGUGGUGACCCCUCAGCCACCAUGCACCAGUCUGCAUCUCCUUCUGCAGAACCACCACACAGCGGUCACGCUUGGGAAGGUUAGUGUCUCAUCAGUGUCACCGUCCAGGGAACACUCCGUGCUUCAACUUUCUCUCACGGUCACGUGAGGUAGCACCGCGUUCGUGAGAGUGGCUUUGUUUUUACCUAAGAAUUCAUCCAGGGUCACUCAGUGCAUUUAGUUCUUAUGUCUUUUUUGGUUUUGCGUUUCCAUUUGUGACAUUAACAUUCUCGGCGCAUCCAGGCCAGUUGGUUUGCAGAAAGUCCUUCAGCUUGGAUGUGUCUGAUUGUUUCCUGUUGAGUAGAUUCUGGUUAAGACUUUUUGGCCAGGACCUGUCCAUAGAUGACACCGGGCCCUUCUCAGAGCCACGACUCCAGGAAGCACAUGAAGUCAAUCUGUCUCAUUAUUGGUGACAUUAUGUUUGAUUAUUUUAAGUUGUUGUCCCCAGAUUUCUGCUUAUCUUGUUCCCUAAAAAAUACCAUUCUACGGUUUUAACAUCUUUUAAGAUGGUUCUUUCCUCUUCUUCUUCUUCUUUUGUUUUUUUCUCUUUUUAGAGCCAAACUUGCAGCAUAUGGAAGUUCCAGGACUAGGGGCUGAAUCAGAGCUGCAGCCGCUGGCCUAAGUCACAGCCACAGCAAUGCCAGAUCUGAAUCGCAUCAUUGACCUUUGCCAUGGCUUGUUGCAAUGCUAGGUCCUUAACUCACUGCGCAAGGCCAGGGAUUGAUCCUGUAUCGGUGCGGCCACUAUGUCUGGUUCUUAACCUGCUGACCCACAAUGGGAACACCUGAGAUGGUCCUUUUUUGAGUCAGUUAUAAACCAUGAUGCUUAUAAAAUGGAGAUUUUUUUUUUCCCACACCCACAGCAUAUGAAAGUUCUAGGGCCAGGGACUGAGUCUGAGCUGGAGCUGCAAAUCCAAGCUGGAGCUGCGACCUAUGCCACAGCUGUAGCAACACCAGAUCCUUAACCUACUGUGCCGGGCUGGGGAUGGAACUGGCACCUCCACAAAGACAAGUGAGAUCAUUAACCCACUGUGCCAAAGCAGGAACUCCUAAAAUGAAGAUUUUUGGUUUGGUUUGGUUUUGUCUUUCCUUCUACUUUUCUUUUUGUCUUUUGUCCUUUUAGGGCUGCAGCAUGGCAUAUGGGAUUUCCCCAGGGGCUCUAAUCAGAGCUGGCCUACACAAGAGCCACAGCAAUGCCAGAUCUGAGCUGCAUCUGCAACCUACACCAUAGCUCUUGGCAACGCCGGAUCCUUAACCCACCGAGCAAGGCCAGGGGUCAAACCCGCACCUCGUGGUUGCUAGUCAGAUUCAUUUCCACCACGCCACGAGGGGAACUCCUUCUUCUACAUUUAUUCAUUGGUAUUCUUCUUUAAAGAAUUUUCCCUUUUCAGAGUCCUAGCGGUUAAGGAUCCAGGUUUGUCUGGCUUGGGUCACUGCUGUGGUGCAGGUUUGAUCCCUGGCCUGGACAAAAGAAAGAAAGAGAAAGAGAAAGAAAGAAAGAGAAAGAAAGAAAGAGANAGGGAGGGAGGGAGGGAGGGAGGGAGGGAGGGAGGGAGAAAGAGAGGGAGAAAGACUGAGCACUGGGAGGAGUUCCCUUUGUGGCACAGCAGAGAUGAAUCCAACUAGUAUCCAUAAGGAUGCAGGUUUGAUCCCUGGCCCCGCUCAGUGGGCUGGGGAUUUGGUGUUGCUGUGAGCUGUGGUGUAGUUUGCAGACACAGCUUGGGAUCCCACGUUGCUGUGGCUAUGACUGUGGCCAGCAGCUGUAGCUCCAAUUUGACCCCUAACCUGGGAACUUCCAUGUGCUGUGGGUGUGGCCCUAAAAAGCCAAAAAAAAAAAAAUAAAAGAAAAGAAGAGAAAAGAAAAGUGCGUUGG
RNAcentral lists this long non-coding RNA (2448 nucleotides) under Sus scrofa (pig). Its description in RNAcentral is "lncRNA (ENSSSCG00065044790.1)". Lineage: Eukaryota; Metazoa; Chordata; Mammalia; Artiodactyla; Suidae. The record is from RNAcentral.